UGUAACGGAUCCCUCCUGGUAUAUGGACAGCGGUGCAAACUAUCAUGUCACUCCUCACUCUGAGCAACUCGAACACAUCACUCCAGUAGGACAAGAAGACAGAUCAGUUACUGAUGCGAGGAGCUCCCAGGCAAGGCCUUUAUCCAAUGGCAAAUAAAGGCCGCACACCUCAAGCACAAAUGACGAACUACACAUCUAAUGCAGAGGAUGACUUCAUUCGGUGGCAUCACUCCUUAGGACACCCCAGCAAUAAAGUCUUGAAAGACAUCUUGAAUAAGUGUAGUGUGAGUGUUCAUAUAAAUGAUAAACACGUGUGUGAGGCUUGCCAGUAUGGUAAAUCAAAAUUAUUGCCAUUUCCUAAUUCAACUUCCCAUGAUUCUUCUCCUCUUGCACUAGUUCAUACAGAUUUGUGGGGCCCAGCCCCGGUUCAAUCUUCACAUGGGUUCCGUUAUUACAUUCAUUUUAUUGAUGAUUUUAGUCGUUAUA
Molecule: long non-coding RNA, 486 nt
Organism: Neltuma alba
Lineage: Eukaryota; Viridiplantae; Streptophyta; Magnoliopsida; Fabales; Fabaceae
Exons: 2
Source: RefSeq, a predicted model, not a curated record